RNAcentral lists this ribosomal RNA (440 nucleotides) under uncultured bacterium. Its description in RNAcentral is "bacterial SSU rRNA". It matches the Rfam family "Bacterial small subunit ribosomal RNA", at positions 958 to 1400 of the family's 1533-position model. The record is from RNAcentral.
AACGCGAAGAACCUUACCUGGGCUCGAAAUGUAGUGGACCGGGGUGGAAACAUCCCUUCCCGCAAGGGCUGCUAUAUAGGUGCUGCAUGGCUGUCGUCAGCUCGUGUCGUGAGAUGUUGGGUUAAGUCCCGCAACGAGCGCAACCCUUAUUGUCAGUUGCCAUCAUUAAGUUGGGCACUCUGGCGAAACCGCCUCGGAUAACGGGGAGGAAGGUGGGGAUGACGUCAAGUCCUCAUGGCCUUUAUGUCCAGGGCUACACACGUGCUACAAUGGUCGGUACAAACCGUCGCAAACCCGCGAGGGGGAGCUAAUCGGAAAAAGCCGGCCUCAGUUCGGAUUGGAGUCUGCAACUCGACUCCAUGAAGCUGGAAUCGCUAGUAAUCGCGGAUCAGAACGCCGCGGUGAAUACGUUCCCGGGCCUUGUACACACCGCACUACUA